CCUACGGGUGGCUGCAGUGGGGAAUAUUGGGCAAUGGGCGCAAGCCUGACCCAGCAACGCCGCGUGAAGGAAGAAGGCCCUCGGGUUGUAAACUUCUGUUAUUCGGGACGAAACAAAUGACGGGACCGAAUGAAUAAGCGACGGCUAACAACGUGCCAGCAGCCGCGGUAAUACGUAGGUGGCAAGCGUUCUCCGGAUUUACUGGGUGUAAAGGGCGGGUAGGCGGGAGAGCAAGUCAGACGUGAAAUUCCCGGGCUCAACCCUGGAACUGCGUUUGAAACUGUUCUUCUUGAGUGAUGGAGAGGCAGGCGGAAUUCCGUUUGUAGCGGUGAAAUGCGUAGAUAUCCGGAGGAACACCAGUGGCGAAGGCGGCCUGCUGGACAUUAACUGACGCUGAGGCGCGCACGCGUGGGGAGCAAACAGGAUUAGAUACCCGGGUAGUC
This 443-nucleotide ribosomal RNA is filed under the name uncultured bacterium. RNAcentral's name for it is "partial 16S ribosomal RNA". It matches the Rfam family "Bacterial small subunit ribosomal RNA", at positions 338 to 795 of the family's 1533-position model. The record is from RNAcentral.